AGAUUGAACGCUGGCGGCAUGCUUUACACAUGCAAGUCGAACGGUAACAGGCCGCAAGGUGCUGACGAGUGGCGAACGGGUGAGUAAUGUAUCGGAACGUGCCCAGUCGUGGGGGAUAACGCAGCGAAAGCUGCGCUAAUACCGCAUACGAUCUAUGGAUGAAAGCGGGGGACCGUAAGGCCUCGCGCGAUUGGAGCGGCCGAUAUCAGAUUAGGUAGUUGGUGGGGUAAAGGCUCACCAAGCCAACGAUCUGUAGCUGGUCUGAGAGGACGACCAGCCACACUGGGACUGAGACACGGCCCAGACUCCUACGGGAGCAGCAGUGGGGAAUUUGGACAAGUGGGCGCGAAGCCUGAUCCAGCAAUCGCCGCGUCGCGAAGGAAGAACGGCCGUUGGUUAGUAACGUGUACGUUUU
This 415-nucleotide ribosomal RNA is filed under the name uncultured soil bacterium. Its description in RNAcentral is "bacterial SSU rRNA". It matches the Rfam family "Bacterial small subunit ribosomal RNA", at positions 26 to 441 of the family's 1533-position model. The record is from RNAcentral.